RNAcentral lists this ribosomal RNA (732 nucleotides) under uncultured Campylobacter sp. RNAcentral describes it as "bacterial SSU rRNA". It matches the Rfam family "Bacterial small subunit ribosomal RNA", at positions 28 to 776 of the family's 1533-position model. The record is from RNAcentral. Lineage: Bacteria; Pseudomonadati; Campylobacterota; Epsilonproteobacteria; Campylobacterales; Campylobacteraceae.
AGUGAACGCUGGCGGCGUGCCUAAUACAUGCAAGUCGAACGGACAAGUAAGAGCUUGCUCUUAUGAGUUAGUGGCGCACGGGUGAGUAAUGUAUAGCUAAUCUGCCCUACACUAGAGGACAACAGUUGGAAACGACUGCUAAUACUCUAUACUCCUCUCUAGCAUAAGUUAGAUAGGGAAAGUUUUUCGGUGUAGGAUGAGGCUAUAUUGUAUCAGCUAGUUGGUGAGGUAAUGGCUCACCAAGGCUAUGACGCAUAACUGGUCUGAGAGGAUGAUCAGUCACACUGGAACUGAGACACGGUCCAGACUCCUACGGGAGGCAGCAGUAGGGAAUAUUGCUCAAUGGGGGAAACCCUGAAGCAGCAACGCCGCGUGGAGGAUGACACUUUUCGGAGCGUAAACUCCUUUUGUUAGGGAAGAACAAUGACGGUACCUAACGAAUAAGCACCGGCUAACUCCGUGCCAGCAGCCGCGGUAAUACGGAGGGUGCAAGCGUUACUCGGAAUCACUGGGCGUAAAGGACGCGUAGGCGGAUUAUCAAGUCUCUUGUGAAAUCCUAUGGCUUAACCAUAGAACUGCUUGGGAAACUGAUAAUCUAGAGUGAGGGAGAGGCAGAUGGAAUUGGUGGUGUAGGGGUAAAAUCCGUAGAGAUCACCAGGAAUACCCAUUGCGAAGGCGAUCUGCUGGAACUCAACUGACGCUGAUGCGUGAAAGCGUGGGGGAGCAAACAGG